This 73-nucleotide transfer RNA is filed under the name Trichonephila inaurata madagascariensis. It matches the Rfam family "tRNA". Rfam says of the family: Transfer RNA (tRNA) molecules are approximately 80 nucleotides in length. Their secondary structure includes four short double-helical elements and three loops (D, anti-codon, and T loops). Further hydrogen bonds mediate the characteristic L-shaped molecular structure. tRNAs have two regions of fundamental functional importance: the anti-codon, which is responsible for specific mRNA codon recognition, and the 3' end, to which the tRNAs corresponding amino acid is attached (by aminoacyl-tRNA synthetases). tRNAs cope with the degeneracy of the genetic code in two manners: having more than one tRNA (with a specific anti-codon) for a particular amino acid; and 'wobble' base-pairing, i.e. permitting non-standard base-pairing at the 3rd anti-codon position. The record is from Rfam by way of RNAcentral. Lineage: Eukaryota; Metazoa; Arthropoda; Arachnida; Araneae; Nephilidae.
GGUUCCGUAGUGUAGUGGUUAUCACGUUCGCUUACCACGCGAAAGGUCUCCGGGUUUGAUCCGGGCGGAACCA